This 440-nucleotide ribosomal RNA is filed under the name uncultured bacterium. RNAcentral's name for it is "partial 16S ribosomal RNA". It matches the Rfam family "Bacterial small subunit ribosomal RNA", at positions 338 to 795 of the family's 1533-position model. The record is from RNAcentral.
CCUACGGGUGGCAGCAGUGGGGGAUAUUGCACAAUGGGGGAAACCCUGAUGCAGCGACGCCGCGUGUGGGAAGACGGUCCUCUGGAUUGUAAACCACUGUCCCCAGGGACGAAGAUGACGGUACCUGGGGAGGAAGCUUCGGCGAACUACGUUCCAGCAGCCGCGGUAAUACGUCGGGCGCAAGCGUUUUCCGGAAUUACUGGGUGUAAAGGGAGCGUAGGCGGGUAGGCAAGUUGGGUGUUAAAUCUACCGGCUCAACUGGUAGUCGCACUCAAAACUGCUAUUCUUGAGUGAAGUAGAGGCAGGCGGAAGUCCUAGUGUAGCGGUGAAAUGCGUAGAUAUUAGGAGGAACACCAGUGGCGAAGGCGGCCUGCUGGGCUUUUACUGACGCUGAGGCUCGAAAGUGUGGGGAGCAAACAGGAUUAGAUACCCCUGUAGUC